AAACCCAGAUGGCAAAAAGUUUGAUAAAGUUAUUCAGGUUGAAGCAAAAAGUGAGAAGUUUGACAUGUUCAUGCACCUAGAUGUGAUGGUUACAAAGGAUUUUGAAGUGAAGGAAGGUGAUAAGUUUGCUAUGGCACAACGAGAUUGCAAGGCUCAAUCCUAAUACAAAAUCACCGUCGGAUUCUGCUCCAAUGUUCAGAAAUAAGAGUACAGAGGUUAGACCUUCCGAGAAGAUUUGUUCGAGUACAACAGAGAAAUAAGAGUACAGAGGUUAGACCUUCCGGGAAGAUUGGUUCGGGUACAACUGAGGUACUACAUCUCCGGAGAACUAUUCUUUUUUUACAAUUCUUUACUUUGAAAUUGAUAAAUUACAAAUUAUCCCAAAAGUUUAAACGGUUAGGAAAUGGAAAAUUUAAUUACUUGACCAUUAUUU
This is a long non-coding RNA of Quercus robur (English oak), 433 nucleotides long. RefSeq lists it as uncharacterized. Lineage: Eukaryota; Viridiplantae; Streptophyta; Magnoliopsida; Fagales; Fagaceae. The transcript has 5 exons. The record is from RefSeq and is a predicted model, not a curated record.